GUGACCAUAUGGAUUUGAUCCCUAUCCUUCAGAGGUGCUCAGCCCAAGGGAACACGGGUAGUAGAUUAAGCACUGACCAGGGCCUGAAACAGGGAAGUUUGGCUGCAACAGGGAAGAUCCCCUUGAAAGAGACUGAGUGGUGUUUCAAACCACAUCCAGCCGAAUCAAAUCAGGGUCUGCCGUCACCCUCUUCUGCAUCCACCUCUGCCUGCGAUGGCUCCCUGCCCCUGUAAAAGACAUUAUCUGCUUGAGAACAAUCCUGGAGAGAGGCCGUACUGAUGAGAGAUAUCUCAUGGGAGGACUGAAGGAGCAAAGGCUUUGCAGAACAUGGUCUUUAGAGGGGAAGUUGAGCGGUAGCAACAAAAGUUACCCAUCGGCGAAAACAGCUGGGGAGCCAUCUGUCCGGGAGAAGCCUCCUGCCCAUUUCAUUACCCUCCUUUCUGCAUUUGUGAGAGAACUGGCCGCUGACGGCAGGCAGUUUAUAGCAGAGGGAACAGAAGGAAACCAGUUGGCCCUUGGAUAACCUUGGCCUCAUUAGCAUCGAACCAAAGCCCACUGCGCUAUUGACUUCUAGUAAAUAUCCACCCAUCAAGAAGAUGUCCCGGAGCCCUGCCUCCGGGGUGUUCAGACACCAGACAGAGCCUUCUUGCUCCUCCAUCCCCAGCUUUGUGAUUCAGGAGCGGGUGCCUAACCAUUCUCCCUGCCCAUAACCAUCCAGCACUCAGAAACCACUCCAUCUUCCCGGGAGGGGACAGUGGUGGGGGGUGGGCGGUGGGAAGGAAAGCUCCAUGGUCACCUCGCUGAAAAUCUCCCAUUCUCUCGCUCUAAAGGGCCAAACAAACCCUAGAAAGGCAGUUCAGCAAAUGAAGUAUACGCAAUUAUAUUUCCAACUGCUUUGAAAACUUUUAUUUUUCUACAGCAAAUGACACAUUAUCUCUCUCGAGGUCAGGAAAUAAUGCAGUGGGAGUCUUGCGACAUUGUGAGAGUUAAUGUUUCUAUUUGCCAUUGUGUCCUGCGCAAAGAAAGGCGGCCGGUCACCUGGGGUUACCACAACACAGCGCGGAGAUGGUGGAAUCCACCAGAAGUGCUUUGAUAAUGUUGGACACUAUUGUGCAGGCAAUGGCUUCCUCCUUACCCACGCUGCAUAAUGGGCCUCUGAGUGCUAAGGAGAUAAGCGAUACUAUCCUUGGAGUGUCAGAGGUAGGGCUCUCCAGAAGCUGCAUUCAUAAUUUCCUCCAACUUAAGGACUUCGAUUUUUUAAUAGUAAUUGAAACAUAUAAUUCAAUAGAAGUGUCACUCUAAUAUAAUAAUUGCCAAGGAAAUUGAACCACAAAGAAGUACUAUAAAUGGCAAUUUACCUUUAUUAGUGUACGUGGAGCUGGUAAUGUUUUCUCAUCAAGAAAGCGACCCCCACCCCCGCCCAGAUAUCCUCCCUUUCCAUCUUUUGAAUGUUCAUCAUCAUUCAUGCUGCCCUCUUAAGCAAUACCUUCGCUUCUUCUUAGAUUUCCAGUCGGCAUAUUUGGCCCCUCUUAAAAUGCUUAUCAUUGCAAAGUGUUCAUAUUAAUUGCUCUGGUGAAAGCUUUACAAUACAAACUUCAGCUAAACUCUUUAUUGUCAAAUGUCAGCUUCCUGACGUUCUACCUAGAACAUUUGCUUUUGUGGUUAUAAGUAAUAUAAAGGUGUUUUGUGUAUUUAAAGAACUAUGUAAGUAUAAGUCGCUGUUAUUGUGAUUCUGCACAUCUUUCUUAACAUAAAACAAUAUUUACAGAGGAUGUAUUAUACCACUGAACUAAGUCCGGGACCCAGCAUAGAAUAAAAUAAGAAGCCAUUUCCCUCUCCUUGGGAGGUGUUGCUUGGAGCCACCUGAAUUACUAGUAUCAUUAUUAUUUCUGAUUAUUGAUAGGCAGGGGAGCACUUCACCUCCUAUUCCUGUGGAAAUAUACAACCUGCUGACUUCUUAUCCCACCCCCAUAAUUACUGAGCCAUUCUGUCAUCUGUUUCCUACCCUGAAUUCUGAUCCGUGCUUAUAACCACUCCUUCCCCUCUUUCCACUUACCUUCCUUGAUUCACUUCUAGGACACAUCUAGCAAGAGACUGACCCAAGACAGAAUACCACUCGGGAGCUCAAUGCCCUCACUCUUUCCUGGAAAGGGUCUUUAUUCACAGAAAUCCCAGGAACCUGGGGUAAACUUUAGGUUUACUUAGAGGAAAAAAAAAAAAAAA
Macaca mulatta (Rhesus monkey) is the source of this 2223-nucleotide long non-coding RNA. NCBI's taxonomy places the organism in Eukaryota, Metazoa, Chordata, Mammalia, Primates, Cercopithecidae. The record is from Ensembl.